GACGAACGUUGGCGGCGUGCUUAAUACAUGCAAGUCAACUGAAGCAGUGGUAGCCAUAUCGCUGUGGAGGUGGCGCACGGGUGAGUAACACGUAGGUAAUCUGCCUUCAGGUCUGGCAUAACUCCGGGAAACCGGGGCUAAUAGCAGAUGAUGCAGCGGCUCGACAUCGAGACAGUUGUUAAAGCUAUGGCGCCUGAAGAUGAGCCUGCGUCUGAUUAGCUAGUUGGCGGGGUAACGGCCCACCAAGGCAACGAUCAGUAGCUGGUCUGAGAGGAUGAUCAGCCACACUGGAACUGAGACACGGUCCAGACUCCUACGGGAGGCAGCAGUAAGGAAUAUUGCUCAAUGGGAGAAAUCCUGAAGCAGCAACGCCGCGUGAGGGACGAAGGGCUUUUGCUUGUAAACCUCUGUAGUGAGAGAAAAAAAUCCCAAUCUUUGGGACAUGAUGGUAUCUCAAAAGUAAGCCCCGGCUAACUACGUG
RNAcentral lists this ribosomal RNA (481 nucleotides) under uncultured bacterium. RNAcentral's name for it is "partial 16S ribosomal RNA". It matches the Rfam family "Bacterial small subunit ribosomal RNA", at positions 28 to 507 of the family's 1533-position model. The record is from RNAcentral.